AGAUUGAACGCUGGCGGCAGGCCUAACACAUGCAAGUCGAGCGGCAGCACGGGUACUUGUACCUGGUGGCGAGCGGCGGACGGGUGAGUAAUGCCUAGGAAUCUGCCUGAUAGUGGGGGAUAACGCUCGGAAACGGACGCUAAUACCGCAUACGUCCUACGGGAGAAAGCAGGGGACCUUCGGGCCUUGCGCUAUCAGAUGAGCCUAGGUCGGAUUAGCUAGUUGGUGGGGUAAUGGCUCACCAAGGCGACGAUCCGUAACUGGUCUGAGAGGAUGAUCAGUCACACUGGAACUGAGACACGGUCCAGACUCCUACGGGAGGCAGCAGUGGGAAUAUUGGACAAUGGGCGAAAGCCUGAUCCAGCCAUGCCGCGUGUGUGAAGAAGGUCUUCGGAUUGUAAAGCACUUUUAAGUGGAGGAAGGCAAGUUACCUAAUACGUAUCUGUUUUGACGUUACCGACAGAAUAAGCACCGGCUAACUCUGU
Molecule: ribosomal RNA, 485 nt
Filed under: uncultured soil bacterium
Lineage: Bacteria
Description: bacterial SSU rRNA
Rfam family: Bacterial small subunit ribosomal RNA
Source: RNAcentral